Molecule: long non-coding RNA, 514 nt
Filed under: Acyrthosiphon pisum (pea aphid)
Lineage: Eukaryota; Metazoa; Arthropoda; Insecta; Hemiptera; Aphididae
Description: uncharacterized LOC103311873, transcript variant X2
Source: RNAcentral
CGCAGACUGAACAAAAUUCAGUUUGUUGUGAUCAUACCUAUUUAUUUAGUCAUAUAUAAAUAUAUAAUACUAUGUUAUAGAAAUGCACAAGUGUAUAGUGUGCGGCAAUAAAUCUAAGUACACAAAGGUCAAUCGUCCAGGAGUUAUUUAUCAUGGAUUUCCAAAGAAUGCAUACAUGAGGAAAAAAUGGUUUAAAGUUUUUGGGAUUGAUCGUUGCCAUGAUUGGCAACGUAAAUGUAGUGAUCAUUUUUUAGAAGAAAACUAUAAGCCAGGAAAAAAGUGAUUUUUAUUUUCAAAUGCUAUUCCCCAACCUUAUCAUCGAAAUGGUUUUCCUUCUAAUUAUGCUACUCAAAGUAAUGAUGUUGAAACUGGAAAUAAUGUAAUUUUACCGAUGGAACAAAAUAUUAUACAGUGAGUUAAUGAAAAUUGUAUCAGACUUGAUUUUGUAUUUACAAUUAUUUGAAAAUCUAUAAAUUUGGCUUAUUAUGAUGAAAGUGAUUGCAUAGAAUCUGAA